UAAUAAGUGUUUCAUGGCACUUUUUAAAUCCAUAUCCACCUUGUGUGCAAUGUCAGUCGAUCUUCUUCAUGGAGAUCGACCAAACAUCAACCUUUAUCUUUUAACUCUUUGUCUGAAAAUAUUAUGAAUAAACAAUUCAAAAUA
This 144-nucleotide unclassified non-coding RNA is filed under the name soil metagenome. Its description in RNAcentral is "partial internal transcribed spacer 1". The record is from RNAcentral.